UACGGAGGGUGCAAGCGUUGUCCGGAUUUAUUGGGUUUAAAGGGUGCGCAGGCGGCGUCGCAAGUCAGGCGUGAAAUCCCCGGGCUUAACCUGGGAAUGGCACUUGAAACUACGAUGCUGGAGUAUGGCAGAGGGAGGUGGAAUUCCACGUGUAGCGGUGAAAUGCGUAGAGAUGUGGAGGAACACCGAUGGCGAAGGCAGCCUCCUGGGCCAAUACUGACGCUCAUGCACGAAAGCGUGGGGAGCAAACAGG
This 253-nucleotide ribosomal RNA is filed under the name uncultured bacterium. Its description in RNAcentral is "partial 16S ribosomal RNA". It matches the Rfam family "Bacterial small subunit ribosomal RNA", at positions 524 to 776 of the family's 1533-position model. The record is from RNAcentral.